Long non-coding RNA from Mytilus californianus (California mussel), 705 nucleotides. RefSeq lists it as uncharacterized. NCBI's taxonomy places the organism in Eukaryota, Metazoa, Mollusca, Bivalvia, Mytilida, Mytilidae. The transcript has 2 exons. The record is from RefSeq and is a predicted model, not a curated record.
UUCAAGUUUUCAGUACCAUACUUAUCUUUUGUUUUUCUGUAUUUGAAAAGUUCUGUAUAUUGAGAUGCUUGUCUUUGUAUUUGGCUUUGGUAUGCUUUUUUGGCUAUCAUACUUUUGAUAUCUACUUUUUGAAUCCCUUAUCAUUUUAUUUUGUCCUAUCAAAUCAUGAAAAGUCUACUUUGUAUUUGGUCAUAAUUAAAAUAAAUGCCAUUCUGUAAUUCUUUUGGUCUUUAGGAUAUUUUUUCUUAUACACAGACAAUUUAGAAAUUGAGACUAGAUCGAAGAGCUAUAAAAAAAAAUACAGAAACUAAAAUGAUGCCAUCAUAGGACAAUCUUAGUAAAAACAAAAUAGUUGCUGUUUGAAAAAAAAAUAAAUUGCUUCGCCGAGCGUAGCUGGAUACGACCGCAGAGGUCCAACCCUGAACAAUUGGGGCAAAAAUGGACGCAAUAUUCGCGCUUGAUACAGGUCAGAAUUUGGAUUGUAAUUAAAUAUUUGACACAUAAAAGGUUUCUGACACAGAAUAACGGUAGUCAAAGAACUCAGAAUUGGUUAUAUGAUUUGAAUUUAUAUUCAAUUUUUUGCUUUUGUGCACUACACUUUGCUGUUGCGAAUUGACCCCCCUCUCCCCCCACAAAAAAAAAUAAAAAAUUUACCCCCCCCUUUUUUUUUGCUUUUGUGCAAUACACUAUGCUGUUGCGUAUUAA